CCGCACCUCGACAGCG
This 16-nucleotide ribosomal RNA is filed under the name Fraxinus latifolia. Its description in RNAcentral is "partial 26S ribosomal RNA". The record is from RNAcentral. Lineage: Eukaryota; Viridiplantae; Streptophyta; Magnoliopsida; Lamiales; Oleaceae.